This 233-nucleotide ribosomal RNA is filed under the name uncultured bacterium. Its description in RNAcentral is "partial 16S ribosomal RNA". It matches the Rfam family "Bacterial small subunit ribosomal RNA", at positions 103 to 334 of the family's 1533-position model. The record is from RNAcentral.
CGGGUGAGUAACGCGUGAGGAACCUGCCUCAAAGAGGGGGACAACAGUUGGAAACGGCUGCUAAUACCGCAUAAGCCCACGGCUCGGCAUCGAGCAGAGGGAAAAGGAGCAAUCCGCUUUGAGAUGGCCUCGCGUCCGAUUAGCUAGUUGGUGAGGUAAUGGCCCACCAAGGCAACGAUCGGUAGCCGGACUGAGAGGUUGAACGGCCACAUUGGGGCUGAGACACGGCCCAG